Notechis scutatus (mainland tiger snake) is the source of this 717-nucleotide long non-coding RNA. RefSeq lists it as uncharacterized. Lineage: Eukaryota; Metazoa; Chordata; Lepidosauria; Squamata; Elapidae. The record is from RefSeq and is a predicted model, not a curated record.
GGUGGCGCAGGCGCUUUAGAAGACGGGAAAGCGGGUGCGCCACGCUGCGCUCGGUUGUUGUUGUUUCCCCCCCCCCCCUCCUUCUCUCUCCCUCUCUCGUAGGCCCUGCAAAGCGGUUCUCUGAGGUGACCGUUGGUGCAAGAGCCGGAGUCGAAGGAGAGGAACAGGAAAAAGCGGAGGCUUGUCGUUCGCCUCCCGGUGUCCAGAGGGAGCUCUGCUCCUUGCUUUCUUUGGACCAGCAAAGACGGGAAAGAGAAAAUCGCCUUUCGCCGCCUCUGAUUUCCUAUUUUCCUGGCCGUGUCCUAGGCGGUAGGCGUACUUUUCUGAAAUAGUAAUGACUAACGACGUGAGGAUCUGAGGAAGUUACCUGGCUGGCGUGCAGCUAUAGGUCCGCAACUUGUCAAUAUUUUCCUUUCUGAACAACCUUUUUGAAACCUGAGAUUUCUCCACAUCUGGAUUUAGUUGUCUGUUAUAAGAAUCAGAUCUGCCUAGUCUUGUGAUGGCGAACCUAUGGCAUGCGUGGCACACAGAGUCAUUUCUGCCGGCACACGAGAGCUCACCCAGAACAGAUCCACUGCGCAUGCACGGGUACCCCCCUGCCAGCCGAUUGUCAGGUAUCUACUACGCACGCGUGGGGGAAGAUGCACGCUGGGGAGACACGCUUGGGAGAACGCAUGCGCAUGCACAGGGGGUGGGGAUGUGGGGGGUCACAUGCAU